This 377-nucleotide ribosomal RNA is filed under the name uncultured bacterium. RNAcentral describes it as "bacterial SSU rRNA". It matches the Rfam family "Bacterial small subunit ribosomal RNA", at positions 523 to 898 of the family's 1533-position model. The record is from RNAcentral.
AUACGUAGGUGGCGAGCGUUGUCCGGAAUUACUGGGUGUAAAGGGCGUGUAGGCGGGAAUGCAAGUCAGAUGUGAAAUACCGAGGCUUAACUUCGGGGCUGCAUCUGAAACUGUGUUUCUUGAGUGUCGGAGAGGAAAGUGGAAUUCCUAGUGUAGCGGUGAAAUGCGUAGAUAUUAGGAGGAACACCAGUGGCGAAGGCGACUUUCUGGACGAUAACUGACGCUGAGGCGCGAAAGCGUGGGGAGCAAACAGGAUUAGAUACCCUGGUAGUCCACGCUGUAAACGAUGGAUACUAGGUGUAGGAGGUAUCGACCCCUUCUGUGCCGGAGUUAACACAAUAAGUAUCCCACCUGGGGAGUACGGCCGCAAGGUUGAA